Caenorhabditis elegans is the source of this 83-nucleotide non-coding RNA. Lineage: Eukaryota; Metazoa; Nematoda; Chromadorea; Rhabditida; Rhabditidae. The record is from Rfam.
GAAAUUUCAAUCGUUAGAGUAACACACAGUUACACGACCUCAUCAAUCGUGUCACUGGUCUUUCUCUGACGAAUUGAAGUUCU